Myotis lucifugus (little brown bat) is the source of this 73-nucleotide non-coding RNA. NCBI's taxonomy places the organism in Eukaryota, Metazoa, Chordata, Mammalia, Chiroptera, Vespertilionidae. The record is from Rfam.
GCCGGUUUGGCUCAGUGGAUAGAGCGUCGGCUUGAGGACUGAAGGGCCCCAGGUUCGAGUCCCGAAAAGGGCA